RNAcentral lists this ribosomal RNA (419 nucleotides) under Meloidogyne javanica (root-knot nematode). RNAcentral's name for it is "partial large subunit ribosomal RNA". The record is from RNAcentral. Lineage: Eukaryota; Metazoa; Nematoda; Chromadorea; Rhabditida; Meloidogynidae.
AUUUACUUGUUUGGCGCUUGGGGAUGUUCGAGGCCCAUAUGGUGCCGUGGAUUUGAGGCCUCCUUGCUGGUUCCCAAACUGCGUUAUCAUUUUUUGUCUUGGGGUUUCCCCAUUGGAUCAGGCGUGUUUCUUGGACCAAUGAGACUGAAAUGUGCGGGAGCCUGCGACACAUGAUUUCCAAUUAGUUCAAGGAAGCUGAUGGUCGCGAUCUCCCUGCCGGUGGAACCGCCGACCGACCUUGCUAUCCUGAUAGAGACUCGAACGAGAGCAUACCUGUUGUGACCCAAAUUAUGGGAGCUAUGACUGAAAGGGGAAAUGAAAGAAAAAGCUUCUUUGGAGGCCCGUGUGCAAUCUGACAAAAAAAUGGAUCAUGUGCCUUUUCUAUCUGUUUACAAGASUAAGCGAACCGACUAUACGCU